GACGAACGCUGGCGGCGUGCUUAACACAUGCAAGUCGAACGGAAAGGCCCUGCUUUUGUGGGUUGCUCGAGUGGCGAACGGGUGAGUAACACGUGAGUAACCUGCCCUUGACUUUUGGAUAACUUCAGGAAACUGGGGCUAAUACCGGAUAGGAGCUCCUGCUGCAUGGUGGGGGUUGGAUAGUUUCGGCGGUUGGGGAUGGACUCGCGGCUUAUCAGCUUGUUGGUGGGGUAGUGGCUUACCAAGGCUUUGACGGGUAGCCGGCCUGAGAGGGUGACCGGCGACAUUGGGACUGAGAUAGGGCCCAGACUCCAACGGGAGGCAGCAGUGGGGAAUAUUGCACAAUGGGCGGAAGCCUGAUGAAGCAGCGCCGCGUGCGGGAUGACGGCCUUCGGGUUGUAAACCGCUUUCGCCUGUGACGAAGCGUGAGUGACGGUAAUGGGUAAAGAAGCACCGGCUAACUACGUG
Molecule: ribosomal RNA, 468 nt
Filed under: uncultured bacterium
Lineage: Bacteria
Description: partial 16S ribosomal RNA
Rfam family: Bacterial small subunit ribosomal RNA
Source: RNAcentral